UUUAAUCAAAUUAGAUUUUAUGCAAAAUAUUCUGGAUUGGUUUAUAAAGGAUACAAAAUAGGUUAAAAUCAGUGAAUACACUGAAAUGUCUUCUACAAAGGAAAACAAAACAAAAGACAAAUCUAUUUGGGAUAAGAACAACACAGUGACAAUAUAUCUACUAAAAUGAACCUGACAUAGAUUUCUGGACAUUUAACUACCAAACUGAAUGCAACUGAAAUGUGAAACCACAAACAUUCUUAAAAAUAAAAUCUACAUGUGAAAUGACAUUUAAUCCUGAAAGUGAUUUAAUAAUUACAUUUUUUAGAAAUAUAGUAUAAAAGAGAUUAUUUGUGCAUAUAGUUUCACAGAGUUUGCUAACAUUGCAUUUACAGCAGUAAUUCCUUCUUGAAAAUCAAGACCAUGCAACACUGAAAAAUGGACAGUGCAAAAAUCUCAAAACACUUCACUAAAAGUGUGAUCUAAACCAUCAUUCAUGGCCUUUUCUUUUUUUUUACCACCGGAGUGUUCUUGGUAAAGUAAACCUCACUGCUACGAAACAAUAAUAGGUACUACUGUAGUUAGGUGAGGCCAGUUGGAAAAUGCAUGGAAGGCACAAAGCAUGCGGGAAAAAACCCACACGGUACGGAUAAACUGCAGAUUGCUUCUCUGCAUCGGCCGUUUAUUCAGUCGAUUCAUUUUCUCCAGGAGUCAUCGGCAAUGCUGAUCAAUAUCUCUUGAUGUGGUUUAUAUGGCCCUGUUCACCUGCCAUACACCUGGGGCAAUACUGUCCUGCUCCGCGUCCUGGGGUGGGUAACACCUGCUGACAAACCCAAACACAUCAAAGAUAAAAAUACAAUGAAAUAAAUCAAAUAAUCACCAUUAUAUGUCUCAAUUUCCGUUUCAAAAUUAAAUGGGUUUAUGAUUAAAACAAGAACGAAUAUUUGCAAGUGGGCUCAGAAAAAUCACUUUAAUUCAAAAAGAGAAACAAGUUUUCAUUCCACAGUGACAGAUGCUUGCUCUUGUUUUAAGCAUAACUCACUUUAUUUGGUUCAAAUUUUGAUUUCAGUUUGUUUAGAUAACAGAAAGAUUUUCUGCUCCUUUUAAAGGCCAUCAUUUGUGAAUUUUAAGACCUUUUAAGACUCACAGAAUCUCUGAAAGUUACACUUAAUAGGAGACUUUAGGAGUUUAAAAAGUUUCUUCAGCACCAGUAUUUUGGGUUCCACCCAAGAAAAUUAUAUACAC
This is a long non-coding RNA of Cyprinus carpio carpio, 1224 nucleotides long. NCBI's taxonomy places the organism in Eukaryota, Metazoa, Chordata, Actinopteri, Cypriniformes, Cyprinidae. The record is from Ensembl.